CCGGAAUUAUUGGGCGUAAAGAGCUUGUAGAGCGGUUUGUCGCGUCUGCCGUGAAAGUCCGGGGCUCAACUCCGGAUCUGCGGUGGGUACGGGCAGACUAGAGUGAUGUAGGGGGAGACUGGAAUUCCUGGUGUAGCGGUGAAAUGCGCAGAUAUCAGGAGGAACACCGAUGGCGAAGGCAGGUCUCUGGGCAUUAACUGACGCUGAGGAGCGAAAGCAUGGGGAGCGAACAGG
This 234-nucleotide ribosomal RNA is filed under the name uncultured bacterium. RNAcentral's name for it is "partial 16S ribosomal RNA". It matches the Rfam family "Bacterial small subunit ribosomal RNA", at positions 545 to 776 of the family's 1533-position model. The record is from RNAcentral.